GUUUCCGUAGUGUGGUGGUUAUCACGUGUGCCUAUCAUGCACAAGGUCCUGCGUUCGAGCCCCAGCGGAAACA
RNAcentral lists this transfer RNA (73 nucleotides) under Actinia tenebrosa (Australian red waratah sea anemone). RNAcentral describes it as "tRNA-Asp". Lineage: Eukaryota; Metazoa; Cnidaria; Anthozoa; Actiniaria; Actiniidae. The record is from RNAcentral.